GGGUAACGGGGUGUUAGGGCACGACACCGGAGAGGGAGCCUGAGAAACGGCUACCACAUCCAAGGAUGGCAGCAGGCGCGCAAAUUACCCAAUCCCGACACGGGGAGGUAGUGACAAUAAAUAACAAUACGGGGUUCUUUCGGAUCUCGUAAUUGGAAUGAGUACAAUUUAAACCUCUUAACGAGGAACAAUUGGGGGGCAAGUCUGGUGCCAGCAGCCGCGGUAAUUCCAGCUCCAAUAGCGUAUAUUAAAGUUGUUGCAGUUAAAAAGCUCGUAGUUGAAUUUCGGGAUCAGAUUGUCGGUCGUGCCUCGGUACGCACUGGCAUUAUUGGUUCCUACCUUCUGAAGAACCGCGAUGUCAUUAAUUUGGUGUCGUGGGGAAUCAGGACUGUUACUUUGAAAAAAUUAGAGUGUUUAAAGCAGGCGCACGCUUGAAUACAUUAGCAUGGAAUAAUGAAAUAGGACGUUUGAUUCUAUUUUGUUGGUUUCUAGGAUUGACGUAAUGAUUAAUAGGGAUAGUUGGGGGCAUUAGUAUUCAAUUGUCAGAGGUGAAAUUCUUGGAUUUAUUGAAGACUAACUACUGCGAAAGCGUUUGCCAAGGAUGUUUUCAUUAAUCAAGAACGAAAGUUAGGGGAUCGAAGACGAUCAGAUACC
RNAcentral lists this ribosomal RNA (654 nucleotides) under uncultured Glomus. Its description in RNAcentral is "SSU rRNA". It matches the Rfam family "Eukaryotic small subunit ribosomal RNA", at positions 357 to 1016 of the family's 1831-position model. The record is from RNAcentral. Lineage: Eukaryota; Fungi; Glomeromycota; Glomeromycetes; Glomerales; Glomeraceae.